GAAGGUGGCAAGCGUUACUCGGAAUUACUAGGCGUAAAGGGCAGGUAGGUGGUUUAGUAAGUCUAUUGUGAAAGCUCCCGGCUUAACUGGGAGAGGUCAAUGGAUACUGCUGAACUUGAGUAUAGGAGAGGUUACUGGAAUUCCCGGUGUAGCGGUGAAAUGCGCAGAGAUCGGGAGGAACACCAAUGGCGAAAGCAGGUAACUGGACUAUUACUGACACUCAGCUGCGAAAGCUAGGGGAGCAAACAGGAUUAGAUACCCUGGUAGUCCUAGCCGUAAACGAUGCACAUUAGACGUGAGGGGUAUCGACCCCCUCCGUGUCGACGCUAACGCAUUAAAUGUGCCGCCUGGGGAGUACGGCCGCUAGGUUG
RNAcentral lists this ribosomal RNA (371 nucleotides) under uncultured organism. RNAcentral describes it as "bacterial SSU rRNA". It matches the Rfam family "Bacterial small subunit ribosomal RNA", at positions 527 to 896 of the family's 1533-position model. The record is from RNAcentral.